CACGUAGGGUGCAAGCGUUGUCCGGAAUUAUUGGGCGUAAAGAGCGUGUAGGCGGCUUGGCAAGUCCGCUGUGAAAACUCGAGGCUCAACCUCGAGACGUCGGUGGAAACUACCUCGCUAGAGUCCGGAAGAGGAGAGUGGAAUUCCUGGUGUAGCGGUGAAAUGCGCAGAUAUCAGGAAGAACACCCGUGGCUAAGGCGGCUCUCUAGUACGGUACUGACGCUGAGACGCGAAAGCGUGGGGAGCAAACAGG
RNAcentral lists this ribosomal RNA (253 nucleotides) under uncultured bacterium. RNAcentral describes it as "partial 16S ribosomal RNA". It matches the Rfam family "Bacterial small subunit ribosomal RNA", at positions 524 to 776 of the family's 1533-position model. The record is from RNAcentral.